UCUAAACACAACAAUUAUUGUGCCAAAUGGGAUUUUAAAAAACCAAGACACAACCAAAGACUGUCUACAAGAAGCCCGCUUUAAAUACGAUGAUAAAGAUACGUUAAAAGUACAAGUAUAGAAGCUACACCAGCAAACACUAAUUAAAAAAUGAUGGAGAAGGCUUUAUUAAUAUCAGACUAGGUAGAUUUCAGAACAAGAAAACACUGACUCUUUAGAGAAAUGUGAAGGAUGGUUUUGAAUAGCAAAAUCUGGCCUGUUUUUCAGGGAUCUGCCUGGAAGAAGCAACUCGUUCCAUUUUCUGAACUCUGCUGCCAACUGAAAUUGCCCAGGACUAAAAGGCAGAGAAACGGAUUUUUCCUAAUUUGUCUCCCAGUGAGCUCACCCAAGGGAAAAGACAACAAAGUGGUUUUAGAAACUGCUGCCAACAAAGAGAAGAUAUGCUCAGAGUACAAAGCAACAGAGGCAACAACUAAACAUUUCUGUUAUGACGCUAUGAGCCAGCAAUUCCACUCCUGUGUACAAACCCAACAGAAACAUGUACAUGUGUGCACCGGAAGACACGUGCUCAAAUGCUCACAACUGCGCAAUUUCUAAUUGCCAAAUGGGAAAUCACCCAAAAGGACUGCCAACACUAGAAUGGAUAAGUAAACUGAAGACAGUCCGUACAAUGGAAUGCUAUAUAAGAAUGAGAAAAAAAAUCAUGGUUACGCACAACAAUAUGGACAAAUCUCAAAAAGGUUGCUAGCCAGCUUCGUGGACAGAUCGGGCAGUGUGGUGUAGUGGAGAGGGUCAGAAGCUGGAAGUGAGGUCUCCAGAGCUCCAUCGGUCACCUGCAUAACCUAAUGUCUCAGUGCCCUUGUCCAUAUAACAAGGCGAGAGCCAUUCCCGGCUGGGUCAUUCUAGGGUUUACAUGAGACCAUGGCUGAGAAACAAUCAAGGCAGUCAUCAAUGUAAAUGCAACAGGGAAGGAAAUAGAAACCCAAGACCAGGGAUUGUCUCGCUGGCAUUAGAACCUUCCGGAGAAGGCAUUUUAUUUUGAUGGCAUAGAAGGAUGCCUGAGACCACAGAGGACUGUUGAGUUUGAAACUGGCACUCAGUGGGACAGAUUUGGGCCACGGAUAGAGCUGGCCCCUCUUGGACCCGCCCCACCCAGGGUUUCCUGCAAGCAGAGCGUGCACAGGGAUGGAUUCAGAACCUCUAGCUCCCUCAAGGUAGAGCUGCAGACGUUGUGGAGUUACAGCCUUCAGGAUUUCCCUGGGGAUUCAUGUUGAACUCAGGACCCCUGGAAGGAGCCGCCAAACCCAAUGAGCAUCUGAAAAUUCUGGAACAUUCUCGGGCACCCAGCAGAGCAGAAAAGAGCUUACCCCAGGCCCAGAAAACAUUCCCACACCCAGGUGAGCUUCUUCUUCACCUCAUUACCGACUCUUUGGAUGGUCACUUGGGAGAGAAUCUACCCAGAACCAAGCCAAAAGGACCCAGCUCUUCGUGACUGUGCAUGUG
Long non-coding RNA from Neogale vison (American mink), 1503 nucleotides. RefSeq lists it as uncharacterized. Lineage: Eukaryota; Metazoa; Chordata; Mammalia; Carnivora; Mustelidae. The transcript has 4 exons. The record is from RefSeq and is a predicted model, not a curated record.